UACGUAGGUGGCGAGCGUUGUCCGGAAUUAUUGGGCGUAAAGGAUGCGUAGGUGGAUAUUUAAGUGAGAUGUGAAAUCCCCGGGCUCAACCCGGGAACUGCAUUUCAAACUGGAUGUCUAGAGUGCAGGAGAGGAAAGCGGAAUUCCUAGUGUAGCGGUGAAAUGCGUAGAUAUUAGGAGGAACACCAGUGGCGAAGGCGGCUUUCUGGACUGUAACUGACACUGAGGCAUGAAAGCGUGGGUAGCAAACAGG
Molecule: ribosomal RNA, 253 nt
Filed under: uncultured bacterium
Lineage: Bacteria
Description: partial 16S ribosomal RNA
Rfam family: Bacterial small subunit ribosomal RNA
Source: RNAcentral